This 332-nucleotide unclassified non-coding RNA is filed under the name soil metagenome. RNAcentral's name for it is "partial contains 5.8S ribosomal RNA, internal transcribed spacer 2, and large subunit ribosomal RNA". The stretch from base 1 to 120 matches the Rfam family "5.8S ribosomal RNA", at positions 35 to 154 of the family's 154-position model. The record is from RNAcentral.
GAUGAAGAACGUAGCAAAAUGCGAUAAGUAAUGUGAAUUGCAGAAUUCAGUGAAUCAUCGAAUCUUUGAACGCACAUUGCGGCCGCCAGUAUUCUGGCGGGCAUGCCUGUUCGAGCGUCAUUUCAACCCUCAAGCACAGCUUGGUGUUGGGACUCGCGUUAAUUCGCGUUCCCCAAAUUGAUUGGCGGUCACGUCGAGCUUCCAUAGCGUAGUAGUAAAACCCUCGUUACUGGUAAUCGUCGCGGCCACGCCGUUAAACCCCAACUUCUGAAUGUUGACCUCGGAUCAGGUAGGAAUACCCGCUGAACUUAAGCAUAUCAAUAAGCGGAGGA